RNAcentral lists this ribosomal RNA (495 nucleotides) under uncultured bacterium. RNAcentral describes it as "bacterial SSU rRNA". It matches the Rfam family "Bacterial small subunit ribosomal RNA", at positions 29 to 517 of the family's 1533-position model. The record is from RNAcentral.
AACGAACGCUGGCGGCGUGGCUAAGACAUGCAAGUCGCACGGACUAUGCUUAACCGUAUAGUCAGUGGCGAAAGGGUGAGGAAUAGAUAGGUAACGUACCCUGUGCACCGGAAUAGCGUCGGUUAGUAGCAAUACUAACCUACCGAAAGGGGCGGUAAUACCGGAUAAUGUUAUUGAUCGCAUGAUUGAUAACCAAUGGAUUUAUCGGCACAGGAGCGGCCUUUCUCCUAUCAGCUUGUUGGUGAGGUAACGGCUCACCAAGGCUAUGACGGGUACCUGGAUUGAGAGAUUGACCAGGCACAUCGGGACUGAGACACUGCCCGGACCUCCACGGAGGGCUGCAGUAACGAAUAUUGGGCAAUGGGCGCAAGCCUGACCCAGCGACGCCGCGUGAAGGAUGAAGUCCUCGGAUGUAACUUCUUUAGGUUGCUGAAGUACCGCAAGGAUUGAUCUAACCACGAAAAGUACAACGGCUAACUCUGUGCCACGCAGCCG